CAACACUGAAGAAAGAAAGCAAGCAUGAAAAAAAAAAGCAUGGGCUAUGCAAACAAUUUCUCCUCAUACAGGUCAUUGAUGCCAUGAGUCAGAAGAGGAAAAUGGAACUCAGGAUGCCAGGCAAACAUUAAAAUUACUCACAAAUGACUUGGAAAUUACCCUGUUAAAGAGGAAUGGACUGAAGACUGAGUGGAGAAGAAUGGAGAAUGGACAAAGUCUCCACAGAUUGCCUGCACAUAGCUCUGGGAAGAUGAAACUCAUUUUGGUCAAGUUCCUCUGCCAGAGUCAAACUACUGACAUUUUGAAAAACUGUUCCUUUCAUGAGAUAGUGGAAAGCAGAAAUAUUGGAGGUGUAGUGCUUGUGACCAAAAACUCUGUUCAGGCUGAUUCCCUGUACUUUAAACUAUGCAGAUCACUUUUGUUUGGGAAACUGAAGAGGCUGAAUGAGGAAAGGGGUCGUGUCAACGCACUCCUGGCAGUGUCACUAAAAGAGUAAUUUCUUUCUUCUUGGACUCAUCCACAGCAAGGAAUAAGCCUCAGAACUGCCAGUGAAAAAGCAAAAGCAAACCCUUCAGUCAUUGGAAUUUAAUUUUUAUUAGAGAGAACAAUGGAAAAGAAAAAAGAAAAAAAAAGAAUAAGAUAAAAAGAAAUUUCAACCUGAUGUCUACAUAAUUCUAAUAUAAAAUGCAACUGAUGUGAAUUGCAAAGAAGACCUCACAAACUUAUGAUUAUCAUUUGGGGAAGGAAGUGAGAAAGGCAUGACAUUAAUGCUUAAUUUUUUUAGUUAUUUGAUUCCCAGUACUGCAUACUGGGAUAAAAGGCCAAAAUGUAUGUGAGAAAAGUAUCAUACAGUGACAAUUCAUGAAGGAGAAGCAAGCAUACUUCUCCUCUAGGAAAGGCAUAAAGGAUAUUAUUUUUUUGUAUAAAAUGAUGAAAUUUAACAGUAGGAAUCUGGUUAAAUUGGUGCAGGUUUUCAACAUACACAGACAAGUUAUGGGAGUGGAGUCUUUGGAUUUAAAAUACUCUGUUGAUAAAAGAAUAAAUUAUUGAAUUUGAGAAUCCCUUACCGAUAU
RNAcentral lists this long non-coding RNA (1073 nucleotides) under Cyanistes caeruleus (blue tit). RNAcentral's name for it is "lncRNA (ENSCCEG00000017591.1)". The record is from RNAcentral. Lineage: Eukaryota; Metazoa; Chordata; Aves; Passeriformes; Paridae.